UACAGGGGGUGCAAACGUUGCUCGGAAUUAUUGGGCGUAAAGCGCGCGUAGGCGGCUACCUAAGUCGGAUGUGAAAGCCCCUGGCUUAACUGGGGAAGUGCACCCGAAACUGGGUAGCUAGAGUGCAAAAGAGGGUCGCGGAAUUCCAGGUGUAGCGGUGAAAUGCGUAGAUAUCUGGAGGAACACCGGUGGCGAAGGCGGCAUCCUGGACCGAUAUUGACGCUGAUGCGCGAAAGCCAGGGGAGCAAACGGG
This 253-nucleotide ribosomal RNA is filed under the name uncultured bacterium. Its description in RNAcentral is "partial 16S ribosomal RNA". It matches the Rfam family "Bacterial small subunit ribosomal RNA", at positions 524 to 776 of the family's 1533-position model. The record is from RNAcentral.